GACGAACGCUGGCGGCGUGCCUAAUACAUGCAAGUCGAGCGGAUUGAUUCGGAGCUUGCUCCGAUGAUGUCAGCGGCGGACGGGUGAGUAACACGUGGGUAACCUGCCUGGCAGACUGGGAUAACGCUUGGAAACGAGUGCUAAUACCGGAUAAUCUCUUGGAUCGCAUGGUCUGAGAGUAAAAGGAGCUUUUGCUUCACUGCUAGAUGGACCCGCGGCGCAUUAGCUAGUUGGUGAGGUAAUGGCUCACCAAGGCGACGAUGCGUAGCCGACCUGAGAGGGUGACCGGCCACACUGGGACUGAGACACGGCCCAGACUCCUACGGGAGCAGCAGCAAGGAAUUUCGGCAAUGGCGCAAGCCUGACCGAGCAACG
RNAcentral lists this ribosomal RNA (375 nucleotides) under uncultured bacterium. RNAcentral's name for it is "bacterial SSU rRNA". It matches the Rfam family "Bacterial small subunit ribosomal RNA", at positions 28 to 396 of the family's 1533-position model. The record is from RNAcentral.